This 186-nucleotide non-coding RNA is filed under the name Acidovorax delafieldii. Lineage: Bacteria; Pseudomonadati; Pseudomonadota; Betaproteobacteria; Burkholderiales; Comamonadaceae. The record is from RNAcentral.
GUAGCCAGAAAAGUUUUGUGAGCCGCUUCAAAGCAAAGGGAGAAUCGGGAAGGCGGUGCAAAUCCGCCGCGUGCCCAACGCUGUAAGGACGAUGCCUCGCACCUAUGCCACUGGCUGCCAAGCCGGGAAGGUGUGCGACGGCAGACGACUCCAAGCCAGAAGACCGGCCUGAGCAUUUCUUGGCGC